This 569-nucleotide ribosomal RNA is filed under the name uncultured bacterium. Its description in RNAcentral is "bacterial SSU rRNA". It matches the Rfam family "Bacterial small subunit ribosomal RNA", at positions 926 to 1506 of the family's 1533-position model. The record is from RNAcentral.
CAAGCAGCGGAGCGUGUGGUUUAAUUCGAUGCUACACGAAGAACCUUACCUGGGUUUGACAUGGAGGUGGUACCGAACCGAAAGGGGAGGGACCCUUCGGGGAGCCUACACAGGUGCUGCAUGGCUGUCGUCAGCUCGUGCCGUGAGGUGUCGGGUUAAGUCCCGUAACGAGCGCAACCCUUGCUCUUAGUUAUACGUGUCUAAGAGGACUGCCGGCGACAAGCCGGAGGAAGGUGGGGAUGACGUCAAGUCAGCAUGGCCUUUAUAUCCAGGGCUACACACACGCUACAAUGGUCAGUACAAUGGGCAGCCAACCCGCGAGGGGGAGCGAAUCCCACCAAAGCUGAUCCCAGUUCGGAUUGCAGGCUGCAACCCGCCUGCAUGAAGUUGGAGUUGCUAGUAACCGCGCGUCAGCCAUAGUGCGGUGAAUACGUACCCGGGUCUUGUACACACCGCCCGUCACGUCAUGGGAGUUGGCAACGCCUGAAGCCGGUAGCCUGACCUAACGGAGGGCGCCGUCGAAGGCGGGGCUAGCAACUGGGACGAAGUCGUAACAAGGUAGCCGUAGA